AUGCUAUUGAAACGUCAUCUGUCCUUGAAAUUUUCAAAAUGGCCGCCGUUGUCAUGGAAACAGCAAAAAAAAAAAAAAAAAAAAAAUCGCAACUUUCAGGCAAAAUUCUGUAAUCAUGACUAUGUGCAUACGAUCAAAUACAAAUCUGUACUGCAAAACAUUUUCUAGAAUAUGCUAGAAGAAAACUAAUAUAGAAUUUAACGUGCUUCUAUUCUAUACAUAAAUCGUGCUUUGAAGAGAAGAAUCGCCACUGAGAGAGAGAGAAACACGAAGAGUACACAUAAGUGACAUUUCUGCACUUGCACUAAAGUACACAUCCGUUAAUCGAACACCUGCUACAAUAUACACAUGAGCUAAAAAUCAAUCGAUAAGCGUGUAAUUAAAUUGUACAAGAUAAGAUACAUGUAUCGUGUGAUACGCGAGUAAUUGAAGAAUAAAAUGAACAGUUAGUAUGCCGCUCCGUCAAUAUAUACACAUGUUGUCUGUCCAAGGUCCCCUCUAAAAAGAAUAGUAAUGUUACUAAGUCCACGAUAAUAUACUUCAGUAUCACGUGACACCACCUUUCUUCCUCGCGCGUGUGUCUAAUUUAAGAUUUUUAAGAGGUUCCCCAACUAUAUAUAGUAGCAUCAAUCUUACUCUACGAGAAGAGAAAAAAGGGGGGGGGGGGUCAAAGGCAUGUAUACAAUAUACUAGACGUGCCCUGUGACUUUGGUACAUUCAAACUGGUUGCUGCUACUGUGACAAUGUCCAGAACGGGGUGACAUCCUCAGCUAUUGCUUGCAAUGGCAAAUCUAGUGUUAGAAUAACUCAUUCGCCAUUCAUUUUUUCUAAUGAGAAAAGAGAAAAUAGAGUAUUUUUCUCAAUCGUACGUGUAAAGUUGUGCACUGAUAUUUGUCACUGAACAGCAGAAAACGUACAGAUAAGGAAUAAAUCAAUGCAAACUGUGUCAAUUUAUGCUAUACAAAGUAUUGAUCAAUCAAUCAAAUCAUGAUUGAAGUGAUCAAAUCAUGAUAAGAGAUCAAUCAAUCAAGUUUUGAUAUCAAACAAGUAAUGAAUCAAGUGCAGAUAUCGAAAAAAAAGUCCCCGUACCAUUUUUCAAACUGCCAAUCAGUCGAUCAAGUCAAUCAAUGAUUAAUCAAUCAAUGAUUGAUCAAUCAUGAUCACAAACCAUCAAUCAACCAAUCCACAUAUCGUUUACGUUGAGUUUAUGAAAGAAAAUACCUUUAAUUCUCUGUUGAACAAUCGACUUUUGCGUAUUAUUAUGUCACCCCUAUGGAAAUAGGGGUGAUAUAUUGUUAUUGUUCCAAAUUUUUCUUCCACACUUUUUGUCCAGCCGAGUUCUCGGAGAUGACUAGACAUACAUUGAUAAAACUGUACCAUAAUGACAAUCCCCAUGUGCAGAUGUGCAGUUAGGGUCUGGAAUUUUCAAGAUGGCCGCCGUUACCAUGGAAACGGCAAAAAUGUGAAAAACCGAAAAAUGGUCCAAAUUUAAUGAAACUUUCAGACAUUGUAACUGGUCAGGCGAAAGCGUGAAAUCCAUCUUAAAAACUUUCAAAAUGGCUACCGUUGCCAUGGAAACAGUCCAAACGUGAAAAAAACGAAAAUAAUUCCUUAAUUAUCAUGUCUAAAUGAAGUCUCUGUUGCCAUAGGAACCAUCACAAAUGUCAAAAAUUUUAAAAUGCUUCAAAAUUGAUGAAACUUCAUAUGAUUGUUGCAAGUUGCAUGAGAUGAAGUUGGAAUUUCCAAAAUGGCUACCGUUGCCAUGGAAACUGGAAAAAUGUCAAAUAUUUUCGAAAUGCUCCAAACUUAAUGAAACUUAAUAUUAUUGUAAACUGGCAUGUAUAGAUGAGACUUUGACUUUUAGAACAAUCAAAAUGGUUGCCGUUGCCAUGGAAACAGCAAAAAUGUCAUGUUUUUAAAAAUGAUCUUAAUGUACUGAAAAUUCACAGAAAAAUGUAUAGCCAUGCAAAUAUGUGCAUUCACUGUUAAAAGUUUUUGAAAUGGCUGCCGCUUAGUGUCAAUGGGGGAAGGGUGACAUCCGCUAUUGCUUGCAAUGGCAAUUCUAGUUAUGUCACCCGAUCGACAAUGUCGGGUGACAUAUUGCUUUUCUUAUGUUUCUUUGUUAUUAUUAUUCUUCCACCUUUUUUUGUCCGACAGGUUUUUUGGAGUAAAAUGGAACCAAUCUUAAUGAUAAUUUACUAUAAGGAGGAACACAAAAUUUCGGGUUGCAGUAGGGUCUAAGACCAAUAAAAAUGGCUGCCGUUUCCAUGGAAACGGAACAAUUGUGAAAAAUUCCAGUUUUUGGGUUUUGUGAAUAAUUUGGAGAUGCUUAAACUCAGAAUCAUCAUAUUUUAUCACAAUGUAGGUGCCAGCCAUAUAUUGGUUUUGGAUGAUAUUGGCAAUCAUUGGAACCACUAUGUUGCCAUGGAAACUACCCAAAAAUUUCAAAAAAUUUCAAAAAUGCUCCAAAUUUUUUGAAACUUUAGCAUAACGAUGAGCAACUUUGGUAGAUGCGUAAUUUGGCGUUGGAAUUUCCAAAAUGUCUGCCGUUACCAUGGAAACAGUGCAUAAGUGUCAAAAUGCUCUAAAAACUCAGGAGUUGAAUAAUUUUGGUAUGCUAGAACUUGAAAUCAUCAAAUUUUUACACAAUAUAGUUGUCCACUAUAUACAGGUUUUGAAUGAUUUUGACAAUCAUUGGAACUCUCUGUUACCAUGGAUACAGGAUCAAAUAUUUCAAAAAUUUCAAAAUGCUCCAAAAUUGAUCAAACUUAAUAUGAUUGUUGACUGGCAAAGUCUGGAUGAUACUUUUGACUUUGGAAUUUCCAAAAUGGCCAACGUUGCCAUGGAAACUGCAAAAAAGUCAAAAAUUCUAAAAAUGCUUUGAACUUAAUGAAACUUUGUAUUAUGUUUAACUGGCAAGUAAGAUGAGUUUGUUGAAAAAAGUUGCCAUGGAAACAAAAAUGUGCGUUAAAUGUGAAAAAAUCAAAAAUUCCAUGAUUGUGCAACUGUUACAACAAAUCGCCAGCAUGAGUAAUUUUGUGACAGCACCCUCAACGGAGUUGGGGUGACAUAUUGUUAUUCUACGUUUCUUUUUUUUAUGGCACCCUCAACGGAGUUGGGGUGACAUAUUGUUAUUCUACGUUUCUUUUUUUUCUUUUUUUUUUAUUCUUCCACACAUUUUGUCCACGCUAUUUCUCGUAAUUGGUCAGACCCAUGUUGAUGGAACUAUACCAUAAUGUGAACCGCCAUGUGAAGUUGUGCAAGAGACAUUGGAAUGGUAAAAAAUGGCCGCCGUUACCAAGGAAACUACAAAAGUGUAAAAAAAAAAUCCAAAAUUUUAAAUCUUUCGUUAUAAGAGGCAAAGUCUUGAAAGUUUGAUGUAAAUGUUGGCAGUGGUGCCCGAGGUACCAACAGUACUUGGAAUUUUCAAAAUGGCUGCCAUUGCCAUGGAAACUGGACAAAAGUUUAACAUUGACCCUAUGGGAAAAUGCAUUUAAGCUGCAUUUUCUUUAAAAAUAUAACAACAAUUCCACGGAAAUCGUAAUUAGGAGUAUGUGCAUAUGGUCACAUGCAAUGCUGUACUGCUAACAUGUACUAGAAUAUUCUAGAAUAAAAAUAUGUAUUUUUUAUUUAAUGUGCUUUAAAAGAGAAAAUCGCCACCGAGAGAACGAGAAACACUCAGAGUACAAAUUACUGACAUUUCUGCACUUGCGUUAAAGUACAUAUCCGUGAAUGACACACCUGCUAAAAUUUACACAUUAGCUGAAAUCAAUCGAUAAACAUGUAAUUAAAUUGUACACGAUAAGUUACAUGUAUUGUGUGAUACGCGAGCUAUUGAAGAAUAAAUUGAACAGUUAAUACGCCGCUCCGUCAAUAUAUACACAUGUUGUCUGUCCAAGGUCCCCUCUAAAAAGAAUAUUAAUAUGCUAAGUCCACGAUAAUAUACUUCAGUAUCACGUGACACC
This 3965-nucleotide long non-coding RNA is filed under the name Mytilus galloprovincialis (Mediterranean mussel). The record is from RNAcentral. Lineage: Eukaryota; Metazoa; Mollusca; Bivalvia; Mytilida; Mytilidae.